Molecule: non-coding RNA, 48 nt
Filed under: Schistosoma mansoni
Lineage: Eukaryota; Metazoa; Platyhelminthes; Trematoda; Strigeidida; Schistosomatidae
Source: RNAcentral
AUCCAACUGACGAGUCCCAAAUAGGACGAAGUGGCGCACCUCCUGGAU